GACAGAGGAUGCAAGCGUUAUCCGGAAUGAUUGGGCGUAAAGCGUCUGUAGGUGGCUUUUUAAGUCCGCCGUCAAAUCCCAGGGCUCAACCCUGGACAGGCGGUGGAAACUACCAAGCUGGAGUACGGUAGGGGCAGAGGGAAUUUCCGGUGGAGCGGUGAAAUGCGUAGAGAUCGGAAAGAACACCAACGGCGGAAAGCACUCUGCUGGGCCGACACUGACACUGAGAGACGAAAGCUAGGGGAGCGAAUGGGAUUAGAACCAGUACCGUCAGAUCCAAGCCAUCCUCG
This 290-nucleotide ribosomal RNA is filed under the name uncultured bacterium. RNAcentral's name for it is "partial 16S ribosomal RNA". It matches the Rfam family "Bacterial small subunit ribosomal RNA", at positions 524 to 808 of the family's 1533-position model. The record is from RNAcentral.